Molecule: long non-coding RNA, 2009 nt
Organism: Sarcophilus harrisii (Tasmanian devil)
Lineage: Eukaryota; Metazoa; Chordata; Mammalia; Dasyuromorphia; Dasyuridae
Source: Ensembl
UGAAAGUGAGGCGUGUGGAGCCAAACAACCUGAGAGGAAGAGGAAUGAAUGGAGUGGGGUGAGACUCAAGGUGGGCAAAACCACUGGCAGCUAUGGCAAUGACCCAAGACUGUGGUGGAUACAAUGUCAGAGGAGAGGUGGCUGGAUGAGACACAUAUGAGCUGUGUUUCGAAAGGGAGUUUCAUAAGAAGGAAGAGAGCACAGCACAUCGCCUUGGCAACAGAGGUCAAAAGAACUAACAAAUGGUAAACAUCAGAAAAGGAGAGUGCGCAGGCUACAAAACAACUGGUGCCAGAAAUUCUCAAAGGUUAUACGUAUGGUGAAGUUUCAAGCCACCCCCAAAGCCUGGACACCCUUUCUACUUACUGUGAAGAGACAAAGAAAAAAAAAUACACCCAGAGCACAGAUGAUGAAGAAAGAAACAAAAACACAAAAAUAUAUAUGGAGGGAGGGAGAAAAGGAGAGGGAAAGAGAAGUGAAAAAGAGAGAAGAGGAAGAAGAGGAGGAAGAGGAGGAAGAAGAAGAUGAAGAUGAAGAAGAUGAAGACGAAGAAGAUGAAGAAGACGAAGAAGAGGAGGAGGAAGAAGAAUCAGAAGAAGAAUCAGAAGAAGAAGAGGAGGAAGAGGAAGAAGAUAGAUAGAAAAAUAACUGGAGAAGUGAUUCUUUUAAAUUUUGCCAAUCACCUCAAAAAGGUUAUAAAAGGUAGUGAUUUCUGUCAGCCUGUUUUUUCAUACUACGAGGAUCUGAUUCACCUGAGACUGGAACUUCCCUUCCCUUCCUUUCAUCUGAGUUUCUGUCUGAUUUUCAUUACAGUUGAGUGUUUCACAGUGCUCUGUGUUCCUGAAUAUCAAGAUGCCAUGAGACAAACAUUUCAAAAGCAAAAUCAAGAACUUUAGAAGCCAAGCAGGUACUAAUCUAUUUGUUUUAGAAAGGAGCAAAUUUUACCUCACCAAAAGAUUUAUUAAUCAACUCCCACAACUUCCAACUUAUCCACUUGAUCCCAGGAAGUGAGUGGUGACCCAAGCUUACCCACCUUAACAUGGGCUAAUGGAAAGAUUUUCAAUAUCAUUUUCUGAGAUGCUACAAAAUACUUAAAGAAAAUGUAGGAAGAUUCUCAAAACUUUGAAUAGGGGAUUAUGUCCACAGAAUAAAUAAAAAUAAGGAUUUCAGCAUCUUAAGUCUUCAAAAAAGAAAUCUUUUCUAGACCCAAAAGAAAGCACUGAGGUCAAUGUAGAGAACUUGGGAAAGACUGAAAAUAUGUAAAAUUGAAGUGUUAUCUCGAAUGAAACUUCCUGAGGUUACUGAAGAGACAAGAUUUCAAAAGUCAGCCAUUAGAGAAGACUCAAAUGUGUAGCAAUCUAUAACGAAUCUCCUCACGACCAAAGUUCUACUUUGGGCAAUCAAUCCCUUAUCACACCAUCACCAUUGGUGAACUUAUGGCGGAACAAAAAAAAAAAAAAAAGAAAGAAAGAAAGAAAAGAAAAGAAAAGAAAAAAUAAGUUUGCAUAAAAUCUAUCUUGCAACCCUCCCAUAUACCAUUGCCUGGAUUGGCAGAGGCAAAGCAAAAUAAAUCCACAGGAAAACCACCCCAAAUGAUAGACAUCACCAGCAGACUCCCAGGUCUCUUUGCUCCACUUAGUUUCAGAGGUGAGAAGCUACAACCCCAGGCCAAAGAAAGGCUGUUCUAGCAACUUGUUUGAUGUGGGAAUUUCAGAGACUCAAUAUGCAAGUGGUAUAGUAAACAGAGAAUUUGAAGCAUCAUCACAUGAUUCCAGAUGUGAAUGAUAAAACCCAUAACACUUUAAGCCAACAAACAUUUCCUAUACUACUAGAAUGUAGUUUUUUUUUUUUUUUUUUAAGUUUGUUCCACAUACCAAGGGAAUAUUCAUAUUGAGUAGUCUUUCCUACAAAUGACAGCUUCCACUCCCUACCCCAUCCCAGAAUGUGGUAUUUAUUUGACCACAAUGAAAAUAAAGUUACUGUUGCUUUUGCCUUCAUCAAGAGCAGCA